AGGGAGCUUGACUGUGAGACUGACUAGUCGAGCAGGGACGAAAGUCGGGACUAGUGAUCCGGCAGUGGCUUGUGGAAGCGCUGUCGCUCAACGGAUAAAAGGUACCUCGGGGAUAACAGGCUGAUCUUGCCCAAGAGUCCAUAUCGACGGCAUGGUUUGGCACCUCGAUGUCGGCUCGUCGCAUCCUGGGGCUGGAGUAGGUCCCAAGGGUUGGGCUGUUCGCCCAUUAAAGCGGUACGCGAGCUGGGUUUAGAACGUCGUGAGACAGUUCGGUCCCUAUCCGCUGCGCGCGUAGGAAAUUUGAGAAGAUCUAUCCCUAGUACGAGAGGACCGGGAUGGACGAACCUCUGGUGUGUCAGUUGUUCCGCCAGGAGCACCGCUGAUUAGCUACGUUCGGAAUGGAUAACCGCUGAAAGCAUCUAAGCGGGAAGCCAGCUUCAAGAUGAGAUUUCCAUCCCUUAGGGGGAGAGGCUCGCAGCUAGACUACUGCGUUGAUAGGCCGGAUGUGGAAGCGUGGCAACACGUGUAGCUGACCGGUACUAAUAAGCCGAUAACUUGACAACA
This 564-nucleotide ribosomal RNA is filed under the name Microbacteriaceae bacterium UBA1607. RNAcentral describes it as "bacterial LSU rRNA". It matches the Rfam family "Bacterial large subunit ribosomal RNA", at positions 2362 to 2925 of the family's 2925-position model. Lineage: Bacteria; Bacillati; Actinomycetota; Actinomycetes; Micrococcales; Microbacteriaceae. The record is from RNAcentral.